Molecule: ribosomal RNA, 472 nt
Filed under: uncultured bacterium
Lineage: Bacteria
Description: partial 16S ribosomal RNA
Rfam family: Bacterial small subunit ribosomal RNA
Source: RNAcentral
GACGAACGCUGGCGGUGUGCUUAACACAUGCAAGUCGAACGCUGAAGCUUGGUGCUUGCACUGGGUGGAUGAGUGGCGAACGGGUGAGUAAUACGUGAGUAACCUGCCCUUGACUCUGGGAUAAGCCUGGGAAACUGGGUCUAAUACUGGAUACGACAUGUCACCGCAUGGUGGUGUGUGGAAAGGGUUUUACUGGUUUUGGAUGGGCUCACGGCCUAUCAGCUUGUUGGUGGGGUAAUGGCUCACCAAGGCGACGACGGGUAGCCGGCCUGAGAGGGUGACCGGCCACACUGGGACUGAGACACGGCCCAGACUCCUACGGGAGGCAGCAGUGGGGAAUAUUGCACAAUGGGCGGAAGCCUGAUGCAGCGACGCCGCGUGAGGGAUGACGGCCUUCGGGUUGUAAACCUCUUUCAGCACGGAAGAAGCGAAAGUGACGGUACGUGCAGAAGAAGCGCCGGCUAACUACGUG